AGCAGCCGCGGUAAUUCCAGCUCCAAUAGCGUAUAUUAAAGUUGUUGCAGUUAAAAAGCUCGUAGUUGAAUUUCGGGAUCAAUAUGUUGGUCGUGCCUUGGUACGUACUGGCAUUAUCGAUUCCUACCUUCUGAAGAACCUUGAUGUCAUUAAUUUGGUGUCUUGGGGAAUCAGGACUGUUACUUUGAAAAAAUUAGAGUGUUUAAAGCAGGCUCGCGCUUGAAUACAUUAGCAUGGAAUAAUGAAAUAGGACGUUUGAUUCUAUUUUGUUGGUUUCUAGGAUCGACGUAAUGAUUAAUAGGGAUAGUUGGGGGCAUUAGUAUUCAAUUGUCAGAGGUGAAAUUCUUGGAUUUAUUGAAGACUAACUACUGCGAAAGCAUUUGCCAAGGAUGUUUUCAUUAAUCAAGAACGAAAGUUAGGGGAUCGAAGACGAUCAGAUACCGUCGUAGUCUUAACCAUAAACUAUGCCGACUAGGGAUCGGAUGAUGUUAAUUUUUUAAUGACUCAUUCGGCGCCUUAC
RNAcentral lists this unclassified non-coding RNA (520 nucleotides) under uncultured Glomus. Its description in RNAcentral is "SSU rRNA". It matches the Rfam family "Eukaryotic small subunit ribosomal RNA", at positions 569 to 1091 of the family's 1831-position model. Lineage: Eukaryota; Fungi; Glomeromycota; Glomeromycetes; Glomerales; Glomeraceae. The record is from RNAcentral.